GAGUUUGAUCCUGGCUCAGGAUGAACGCUGGCGGCAUGCCUAAUACAUGCAAGUCGAACGAGGGUCCUUCGGGACUCGAGUGGCGAACGGGUGAGUAACACGUAGGGAACCUGCCCGUGCGACCGGGAGAACUUUCGGAAACGGAAGCUGAUACCGGAUAGGGACAGAGACGGCAUCGACUCUGUGUUAAAGGAGCUGAAAGGCUCCGCGCACGGAUGGACCUGCGGUGCAUUAGCUAGUUGGUGAGGUAACGGCCCACCAAGGCGACGAUGCAUAGCCGGCCUGAGAGGGCGGACGGCCACACUGGGACUGAGACACGGCCCAGACUCCUACGGGAGGCAGCAGUAGGGAAUUUUCGUCAAUGGGCGCAAGCCUGAACGAGCAAUGCCGCGUGAACGAGGAAGGUCUUCGGAUCGUAAAGUUCUGUUGAAGGGGAAAAAGAGCGGAGAGAGGAAAUGGUCUCCGAUUGAUAUUACCCUUCGAGGAAGUCACGGCUAACUACGUGCCAGCAGCCGCGGUAAUACGUAGGUGGCGAGCGUUAUCCGGAAUGAUUGGGCGUAAAGGGUGCGUAGGCGGCCUGCUAAGUCUGGAGUGAAAGGUACCGGCUCAACCGGUACAGGCUCUGGAAACUGGCGGGCUAGAGAGCAGGAGAGGGCGGUGGAACUCCAUGUGUAGCGGUAAAAUGCGUAGAUAUAUGGAAGAACACCAGUGGCGAAGGCGGCCGCCUGGCCUGUUACUGACGCUGAGGCACGAAAGCGUGGGGAGCAAAUAGGAUUAGAUACCCUAGUAGUCCACGCCGUAAACGAUGAGGACCAAGUGUUGGGGAAGACCCAGUGCUGCAGUUAACGCAGUGAGUCCUCCGCCUGGGGAGUAUGCACGCAAGUGUGAAACUCAAAGGAAUUGACGGGGGCCCGCACAAGCGGUGGAGUAUGUGGUUUAAUUCGAAGCAACGCGAAGAACCUUACCAGGCCUUGACAUAGGGUGCGAAGCUAUGGAGACAUAGUGGAGGUAAACAUCCAUACAGGUGGUGCAUGGUUGUCGUCAGCUCGUGUCGUGAGAUGUUCAGUUAAGUCUGGCAACGAGCGCAACCCUCGUGAUGUGUUACCAAUAUCGAGUUAGGGACUCACAUCAGACUGCCGGUGAGAAACCGGAGGAAGGCGGGGAUGACGUCAAAUCAUCAUGCCCCUUAUGGCCUGGGCUACACACGUACUACAAUGGCGGCGACAGAGGGCAGCGAGCCUGCGAAGGCAAGCGAAUCCCCAAAAAGCCGUCCCAGUUCGGAUUGGAGUCUGCAACCCGACUCCAUGAAGUUGGAAUCGCUAGUAAUCGCGGAUCAGCAUGCCGCGGUGAAUACGUUCUCGGGCCUUGCACACACCGCCCGUCA
This 1384-nucleotide ribosomal RNA is filed under the name uncultured bacterium. RNAcentral describes it as "16S ribosomal RNA". It matches the Rfam family "Bacterial small subunit ribosomal RNA". The record is from RNAcentral.